RNAcentral lists this ribosomal RNA (345 nucleotides) under Protoparmeliopsis muralis. RNAcentral's name for it is "SSU rRNA". The record is from RNAcentral. Lineage: Eukaryota; Fungi; Ascomycota; Lecanoromycetes; Lecanorales; Lecanoraceae.
AGGAAUGUAUAGCAAUAGCUAAUUGCACUAACAAACAGUUGGUGCAAUAUCGACUCUGUCGAAUAAAGUUCUAGGUAGAAUUAUGAUAAUGACAUUGUCUGCCUAUGUGUCUUGACCAAAUUACGUGCCAGCAGUCGCGGUAAUACGUAGAAGACUAGUGUUAUUCAUCUUUAAUAGGUUUAAAGGGUACCUAGACGGUAAAUAAAGCCCUUCAAAAGGGACUGAUUUACUAGAGUUACUUGUGAGGGGGUAUUAAAGUACUGCUGGUGUAGAGAUGAAAUUCUGUGAUACCUCUUUUCGUAAGAAAAAUAAUGGCACAGGUAUAGGCGAAAGCAUCCCCUUAUG